Molecule: ribosomal RNA, 251 nt
Filed under: uncultured bacterium
Lineage: Bacteria
Description: partial 16S ribosomal RNA
Rfam family: Bacterial small subunit ribosomal RNA
Source: RNAcentral
GUAGGGUGCGAGCGUUGUCCGGAAUUAUUGGGCGUAAAGAGCUCGUAGGCGGUGUGUCGCGUCGGUCGUGAAAACUUGGGGCUUAACUCUGAGCUUGCGGUCGAUACGGGCAUCACUGGAGUUCGGCAGGGGAGACUGGAAUUCCUGGUGUAGCGGUGAAAUGCGCAGAUAUCAGGAGGAACACCGGUGGCGAAGGCGGGUCUCUGGGCCGAUACUGACGCUGAGGAGCGAAAGCGUGGGGAGCGAACAGG